Molecule: ribosomal RNA, 253 nt
Filed under: uncultured bacterium
Lineage: Bacteria
Description: partial 16S ribosomal RNA
Rfam family: Bacterial small subunit ribosomal RNA
Source: RNAcentral
UACAGAGGGUGCGAGCGUUAAUCGGAAUUACUGGGCGUAAAGCGUGCGUAGACGGUUAUUUAAGUCGGAUGUGAAAGCCCCGGGCUCAACCUGGGAAUUGCAUUCGAGUCUGAAUAGCUAGGGUGCGGUAGAGGGAAGCGGAAUUUCCGGUGUAGCGGUGAAAUGCGUAGAUAUCUGGAGGAACACCGGUGGCGAAGGCGGCAUCCUGGACCAAUACUGACGCUGAGGAGCGAAAGCCAGGGGAGCAAACGGG